AAAGAACAGAGAGAAAUUACUGAAGCAUGAGCGCGGAGCUGAAGAGGGACUACGAGAUCGGCGAGGAGAUCGGGCGCGGCCGCUUCGGGGUGGUCCACCGCUGCACGUCCCGCGCCACCGGGGAGGCCUACGCCGUCAAGUCCGUGGACCGGUCGCGGCUGGGCGACGACCUGGACCGCGAGCUCGCGCAGCUGGAGCCGAAGCUGGCACAGCUCGCCGGCGCGGGCAACCCGGGCGUGGUGCAGGUGCACGCGGCGUACGAGGACGAGGCGUGGACGCACGUGGUCAUGGACCUGUGCCCGGGCCCGGACCUGCUGGAGUGGGUGGGCCGCCGCCGCGGCGCGCCCGUGCCGGAGCCCGUGGCCGCCGCCAUCGUCGCGCAGGUCGCGCAGGCGCUCGCGCUCUGCCACCGCCGCGGCGUCGCCCACCGCGACGUGAAGCCCGAGAACAUCCUCAUCGACGCCGCCGCCGGGAGCGACGACGACGAGGAGGACGAGGCCGAGGCGGCGCCGCGCGCGCGCCUGGCGGACUUCGGGUCGGCGGCGUGGGUGGGCGCCGGUGGGCUCGGGCGCGCCGAGGGCCUUGUGGGGACGCCCCACUACGUGGCGCCCGAGGUGGUGGCCGGCGGCGAGUACGGCGCCAAGGCGGACGUGUGGAGCGCCGGCGUGGUGAUGUACGCGCUGCUCUCCGGCGGCGCGCUCCCCUUCGGCGGCGACAGCGCCGCGGAGGUGCUGGCGGCCGUGCUGCGCGGCAGCGCGCGCUUCCCGCCCAGGCUCUUCGGCGGGGUGUCGCCCGCCGCCAAGGACCUGAUGCGGCGCAUGAUCUGCCGCGACGAGUGGAGGAGGUUCACCGCCGAGCAAGUCCUCGCUCACCCGUGGAUCGUGAGUGGCGGAGGAGCCCGGGCAAUGGAGCGGCCAACCUGAGGAGGAAUCCAGACGGACGUGUAUUGCCGUAGAGCACUCAGGCACGGCAAGGAAUCCCGGACGUUAUGUAUGAGGUUUUUGUACGUACGUACGUAGUAGUGUACGGUAGCUGCUGCCAGCUGCAGAGCAGAUCGAUCGGCAAAAGAAGCUUUAUAGGCUUGUGGUUUUCCUUUGCCCCCGGGUUUUUGGGGACGCUCUUUACCUAGCGGAGCAGAGAGCACCCGUUUUCCGAUGUGCUGGUUUUCCUAGCUGGAUGUACAUACACUGACCGUCUUUUGUACAGAUGGAGUGUGGUGUUGGAUACAUAAAUAAAAAAAAACCAAGCCUUUGUACUCC
Molecule: unclassified non-coding RNA, 1259 nt
Filed under: Zea mays
Lineage: Eukaryota; Viridiplantae; Streptophyta; Magnoliopsida; Poales; Poaceae
Description: misc RNA Zm00001eb185200
Source: RNAcentral